CGCUGNGGGGAGACGUAACACACGCAAGUCUAGCGGCAGCACACAGUGAGUUGGUUCUCUGGGUGGCGAGCGGCGGACGGGUGAGUAAUGUCUGGGAAACUGCCUGAUGGAGGGGGAUAACUACUGGAAACGGUAGCUAAUACCGCAUAACGUCGCAAGACCAAAGAGGGGGAYCUUCGGGCCUCUUGCCAUCAGAUGUGCCCAGAUGGGAUUAGCUAGUAGGUGGGGUAACGGCUCACCUAGGCGACGAUCCCUAGCUGGUCUGAGAGGAUGACCAGCCACACUGGAACUGAGACACGGUCCAGACUCCUACGGGAGGCAGCAGUGGGGAAUAUUGCACAAUGGGCGCAAGCCUGAUGCAGCCAUGCCGCGUGUAUGAAGAAGGCCUUCGGGUUGUAAAGUNCUUUCAGCGGGGAGGAAGUCGUUGUGGUUAAUAACCACAGCGAUUGACGUUACCCGCAGAAGAAGCACCGGCUAACUCCGUGCCAGCAGCCGCGGUAAUACGGAGGGUGCAAGCGUUAAUCGGAAUUACUGGGCGUAAAGCGCACGCAGGCGGUCUGUCAAGUCGGAUGUGAAAUCCCCGGGCUCAACCUGGGAACUGCAUUCGAAACUGGCAGGCUAGAGUCUUGUAGAGGGGGGUAGAAUUCCAGGUGUAGCGGUGAAAUGCGUAGAGAUCAGGAGGAAUACCGGUGGCGAAGGCGGCCCCCUGGACAAAGACUGACG
This 723-nucleotide ribosomal RNA is filed under the name Enterobacter kobei. RNAcentral describes it as "bacterial SSU rRNA". The record is from RNAcentral. Lineage: Bacteria; Pseudomonadati; Pseudomonadota; Gammaproteobacteria; Enterobacterales; Enterobacteriaceae.